Molecule: long non-coding RNA, 778 nt
Organism: Magnolia sinica
Lineage: Eukaryota; Viridiplantae; Streptophyta; Magnoliopsida; Magnoliales; Magnoliaceae
Exons: 4
Source: RefSeq, a predicted model, not a curated record
UCCUCUCUCCUCUCUCCCUUUCUACAGAUCUCUCCUUCUCUCCUCUCUCCCUUCCUACAGAUUUUGUUGGGUUCUGGGGGUUUAGGGCUUGAUUGGGGCAUGUUUAGGGUUUUUGAGGUGUUUUGGAUUUGUCAGUGCACGGCCGCCCAACAUCCAUCAAUAGCCGCUACCAUCAUAAGGUCGUCUGUCCCUCAUCAUCAACAGCCAAACCUCAUCUCCACCUGCAAUCGUCCACCAUCAUUAGGGUUCUGAUUGUUCAUUCUCUUCAAAGCAGCCAUUGAUCGAUCUCCCUCCAAUAGCUUAUGAGAAUAGAAGAAAUCAGAGCACACGAAGUCAAAGGUCCAAUUGCAACACAAGAUAAAGCAAGAGGCAGAGCAAUUUCGGCAAUGAAAGGCUUCUCGUGAAAAGGAACUACUGCAGAUUACCUAGAGGUCAAUCUUUAAUUGAUUGCAGGCUGCUGGAAGCUUGGAAUUAAAAAAACUUAAACUGUAGCCUAUUGCUGGUCUAUAUGAAAGCAUACAUCAAAAGGAAAAACUAUUCUCUUCUAAGGUAGUUGAUUUCUCUUCUAAAUAGUUGAGCAUCUAUUUCCACUUAGUUAUUGAUUAAAUUAAUUCAAGGAUAAGGAAAUGAUUCACACAAAGAUAGCUUUGACUGGCUUUGAAGUUCUGCACGUUGUGGCAGGUUUUGAUUAUACUCUAGUCAUUAUCUCCAAUUAGCAGCAAAGUAUAAAAGCUAGAACAAGCUACUUCUGUUUUUUCUUAUAGAUUAGUACUACAAC